ACGCUGGCGGCAUGCCUUACACAUGCAAGUCGAACGGCAGCACGGAGCUUGCUCUGGUGGCGAGUGGCGAACGGGUGAGUAAUAUAUCGGAACGUACCCUAGAGUGGGGGAUAACGUAGCGAAAGUUACGCUAAUACCGCAUACGAUCUAAGGAUGAAAGUGGGGGAUCGCAAGACCUCAUGCUCGUGGAGCGGCCGAUAUCUGAUUAGCUAGUUGGUAGGGUAAAAGCCUACCAAGGCAUCGAUCAGUAGCUGGUCUGAGAGGACGACCAGCCACACUGGAACUGAGACACGGUCCAGACUCCUACGGGAGGCAGCAGUGGGGAAUUUUGGACAAUGGGCGAAAGCCUGAUCCAGCAAUGCCGCGUGAGUGAAGAAGGCCUUCGGGUUGUAAAGCUCUUUUGUCAGGGAAGAAACGGUGAGAGCUAAUAUCUCUUGCUAAUGACGGUACCUGAAGAAUAAGCACCGGCUAACUACGUGCCAGCAGCCGCGGUAAUACGUAGGGUGCAAGCGUUAAUCGGAAUUACUGGGCGUAAAGCGUGCGCAGGCGGUUUUGUAAGUCUGAUGUGAAAUCCCCGGGCUCAACCUGGGAAUUGCAUUGGAGACUGCAAGGCUAGAAUCUGGCAGAGGGGGGUAGAAUUCCACGUGUAGCAGUGAAAUGCGUAGAUAUGUGGAGGAACACCGAUGGCGAAGGCAGCCCCCUGGGUCAAGAUUGACGCUCAUGCACGAAAGCGUGGGGAGCAAAC
This 745-nucleotide ribosomal RNA is filed under the name uncultured bacterium. Its description in RNAcentral is "bacterial SSU rRNA". It matches the Rfam family "Bacterial small subunit ribosomal RNA", at positions 33 to 773 of the family's 1533-position model. The record is from RNAcentral.